RNAcentral lists this ribosomal RNA (1409 nucleotides) under Triticum aestivum (bread wheat). RNAcentral's name for it is "partial small subunit ribosomal RNA". The stretch from base 1274 to 1388 matches the Rfam family "MIR1120/MIR1122 microRNA precursor family". Lineage: Eukaryota; Viridiplantae; Streptophyta; Magnoliopsida; Poales; Poaceae. The record is from RNAcentral.
GACACGCGAAGCGGAAAAGGCAUUUUUUUUUCACUUUCAUCGAUUAGAAGCAGCUCCGAAAAGGAAAAGAAACGACGAACUCUCCCCGUCCCGGCCCCGCUCCCCGCCACGCCAAGUCGACGGCCGCUCGCCGCCGCCCCUCCCUCCGCCGACCUCGGCCGUUCGGCCCCUCCCGCGGCUGGGGUGAACGGCGAGCCCCCCUUGCUUCUCCUCUGUCCUGCCCUGCACGGCAAGCAAGGCGGGAGCGAUCGGCGUCGGGAUGCUGAGGCGGCGGCUGAGCUCCCUUCUCCUCCGAUCCCCGUGCUCCUCCGCCGUCGCUUCCUCCUGCCACCACCAGCAGCACCACCUCCUCCUCCCCACCCACGCCGAGAAACCGCCGGCCCCGAAUCUGCUCAGGCUCUUCACGUCCCUAGCUGGAAGCGAUGGUGACAGGCCGUUCAUCGCUUUCGUCUUAGGGGGACCUGGGAGUGGGAAAGGAACGCAAUGUAGUAGGAUCGCUUCGGAUUUUGGAUUUUCUCAUGUGAGUGCUGGUGACCUUCUGCGCAAUGAAAUAUCUUCGGGCACUGAUCAUGGGGAGUGGAUCCUAGAGAUAAUAAGGGAAGGGAGGAUUGUUCCAUCAGAGAUAACUGUUGAGCUUGUCAGAAAAGCAAUUGAAUCAAGCUCUGCUAAAAGGGUUCUUAUUGAUGGUUUCCCAAGGUGUGAGGAAAACAGAAUUGCCUUUGAAAAAAUAACUGGAACUGAACCAGACCUUGUGCUUUUCUUUGACUGUCCUGAGGAUGAGAUGGUUAAACGUCUCCUAAGCCGUAACCAGGGACGAGUUGAUGAUAACAUUGAGACAAUCAAGAAGCGUCUAAAAGUGUUCGAGAGUUUGAAUCUUCCUGUUGUUGAGUACUACUCUUCAAGGGGAAAGGCACACAAGAUAAACGCAACGGGAACUGAAGAUGAAAUCUUUGAAGCAGUUCGCAAGUUGUUUUCCACCUUAAGGCUAUGAGGAGGCUGUCGUCGUCUUCCGCAGGAGCCGGGGGAAUCAGAGUUACGCCUGGCGGAAAUUCUCUUCCUUUCCUUAUUUACUUUUACAUGUCUUGGCAUAAUAAUUGUACAUAUUCUGAUACACGGUCCAUGCCUGUGAAAACAGAGGGCCCCCGGUGAAACGCUCAGCCCGCUAUGAUAAACCCUAACCCUCACGCUCCCGUCGCGCGCCACGGUAUAGCGCAUGAUACGCUGGUAUGGCAGCAAUACUGCUACAAUGAUAUUUUUCUUCCAACACCCUAACAAUAUACUCCCUCCGUCUGGAAAUACUUGUCAUCAAAAUGGGACAUAUUUUAGUUCUAGAUACAUCUCUUUUAUCUAUUUUGAUGACAAGUAUUUUUGGACGGAGGGAGUAUAUGCCUGCCCUGUUGUUGUUUUUU